This is a long non-coding RNA of Protopterus annectens (West African lungfish), 3795 nucleotides long. RefSeq lists it as uncharacterized. The record is from RefSeq and is a predicted model, not a curated record. The transcript has 2 exons. Lineage: Eukaryota; Metazoa; Chordata; Ceratodontiformes; Protopteridae.
CAAUUACUAGUUUUGCAUGAUGUGAGGCUCCUUAAUUUACAAUUCACUUCUGUUUUGCUGGAUGCAUAUAAUCAGAUCUAUGAGGAAAUCUUAAAGAGCAUUAUAAAGCUAACUAGCAGCAACUGAAUUCUUAGAAGACAAAAGUACCCAAGGAAACCAAGAGGAACAUUUUUAUCCUGCAAGAAAUGUUUGUGGGUCUUCAAAGACAGCACAGUGAAACCAUGUCUGUUCAUUUUUAGCUUUUUUUUUCUGGGGAGGGAAAGCGUAUUAAAUUUUCUCUGGUGAUUAUGACUGUUGUUUGUAUUUUCAUAGCUAUUGUCUUUUCUGCAGACUACAGCUGCCAUGCUUGUAACAUGUGCAAAAAGAUGAACAACAUGUAAAUAACUACCCAUUAGUCUCAUAGACAUUAGGCUUGCAAAGUCUAUAUUGUUUUGCAGCUUCAUCAAUCCAACUGCAAGCCUAAAUAUUUUCAAAAUCUACCUUUCCAUAUGACAGAAUUACUGAAAGCUGCUGAAUGUAGACACCUUUGAUACAUUUUGGUUGUUACGAAGGUUUAAUUAAUCAGUUUAAAACAUCAGUAUGAGAAUAACAGUAAUAUGACAAAGUGAAUCAUCAGGAAGUCAUCUUAGAAUGCUUGUUUUAGAUAUUCUGUGCUCUCCAUGGUGAACUGCUGGUGUAGAGCUAGUUAGCUUUGCAGUGUGUUACGUUUAAGAUAAGGGCACUGCACAUCUGAAUGUACAGAUGGAACCAUAUAAUAUCAGACUUACUGUAGAUAAAAUAAUCCUUACAGGCCUUUUUUUUUCCAUGAGCCAAAUUAAGUGUACACAGUAGUUUUAGAAAAUGGUAUAUUUAAAUAUAUUCUUGAUGAUACAAUGUUGUUUUGUGAGAGCAUAACAUUAAAUGGUUUGUUAGAAGUCAGGAUAAUAUCAGGAAUGAUUAUGCCCUGCGCUGCUGGCAAAAUGGCACUGUGUUUCACUAUGUCUGCAUUUUUAUUGCUAAUUUAUCAAAGUCCAAUGUGUGUAAUUUUUAUCUUGCCAAGUGGGGGUCAUAGAUAGAAAAUGUGUAUCCUUACAAUAAAUAUAAUUGCGUAUUAACUCAUAGAUGAGGACUGUUGAGUAAAGUUUUCAAAUGCAAGAUGGAAGGUAACAAAUUUGUGGUCAUUAAAUUUAAUUGUAUAAUUAAGUUUACAUUGUUUGAGUUUACAGAAAGAAGAGAGAGGAAGAAACAGAAGAGUGAGUGAGAGAGAGAGAGAGAGACAGAGAGGAAGAGAGACAGAAAUUAAAAGCAUGAUUCAUAUUUGUACCAUUUUUAUUAUUAGUCCACAGCAAUGACAGUCUCAGUAGUGGUAUUUCAGGGAACUGUGGAUUUUACUAUGUAAAAAUAUUUCCAUGAGCAUGCAGAAUAAUGCUUGAUUAUAUGACUAUAUUUUUGUUUGUUUCCAUUCACAGACCAAGAAUGCAUUAAAAUGCUAACUAGAAUGUUGGCACGUUAGCAUCAGUUGAAUAAAUGAAAAAAUGUUUGUCAGCUAUUUUAUCUUAAAUCGAAACAGAAUUUUUAUAAAGAGGCACACAACUUUUAUUUGUGUUUCACUGUUCUUACAUCUUCUAAGGUUUCCAUAUGGGACAGCACUGACUAUAUUCUUAUAUGAUGUUUACUUAUAAUAUUUACUUACUCUAUACAAGGCACAGUGAUAUAAAGAAGAUGAAGGUAUUGUAUUUUGGAUACAGAUGAGCUUUUAAGUAUUCAUACCAUUUAAUAAAUCUAGACUUGGGUCUGUGUACCAUUUUAAUACUAGGACUGUUGUGAGAACAUCUUGGAGGAAAUAAAAUAUUGCAUUAAUAAGGAAAUUUUCAUUUGGUUUGAAUUGCUUCUAUACUCACUUCACUUGUCUUUACAAGUAAAGGUUACGCAAUAGGAAAUAGUUGCAGGGACCAUUUUGAAAGAUUUUUUUAUAAGUAAAAUGUAAUGCAUUAUAGUGCACAUUAUUUUUAUUCAUCCAAACUACUAGUUUGCGAGAUAAUUAAAACUGGUAGAGUAAAUUAAGAGGUGACAUGAUAAUAUCAUGGCAUUGGUGCAAAUCAUUUUAGGGCAUAGUUUACCCAGUUUAAGGAAUUGAAAAUUACUAAGUUAAACAAAUCUGAAGUAGUAAACACAUAUACUGAAAAAGUUAGAAUCUCAUAUACAACCCUGUUUUAUUGCAGUGUAGAAAUAAACUGGUAAAGGUGCAUUUAUUACCAAAUCUUGCAUAACCAUGUAAUAACUAUAUAUUUUAGGUAAUACAAUUCAGUUUUCCUGGGCAGAGAAUUUUUUUCAAACCAGUAAGCUGUCUGAAAAAUGCAAAACUUGUUUUUUCCUAAUUUCAUUAAUCCAUACCUAGGUAAAGUAAUAUUUGAUUUUAAAUAUUGCAGAUUAUCUCAGUAUUGUAGGACUACAUGGAUGACUAGUGUUGAAAACAGAAUACGGUGCCCUUCUGCCCUUGUUUUGUAAUAGUUUGUGAUGAAAAGGUUAUUAUAUAAUAUAAGUAUUCUAGAGGGAUAUUAUGUUGUUAAGAAUGGCACUGCAUAUGGUCACAGACAGAUCUCAUGGACACUGAGUUUUAUGACAGUGAAGAGAUGGUUUAUAAAGAAGGAUACUAUGAAAACGUAUGAUGUUUAUGUAAAUAAAAUGCAAUGGACAUGUACCCAGUUCUAACAUGAACUACCUAAUUUAAUUCAGGGUUGUCCAUUUUUACUGCAGUAUUUUGUUUACAUUGCUAUUUGCCUGAAAUCCAUUCGUGUUAUUUUGGAUUUAUUUUAAAUGUAUCUAACUUAUUUCAUAUCAUAUUUUACCUCCAUCAUGUUUUAUUUUUAUGAAUGAAAUAAUAAUUUUAAUGUUAUAUAGUCACAUGGUUACCUGGUUUAUUAAAAAGAUUAGUUGCCAGAAGAUGAGCCUCAAUUAAAGUGGCCUGAUCACUGCUGUAAUAAUUUCUGAUUGCAACAGGCAUAUAUUUUGCUAUGUGCACUGUUUCAUAAACAUUAAAAUGCAUGUAGAAUGCUAAUGUUAUGACAUCCAUUUUAUAUACAUAGUAAUUAAAAAUAUUAGUAGUCUGACCUGUCAGUGCAAACUCCUUGCCAAUUUCCAUGCAUAAAUGAAUCAUCCAUUACACCUUUUACAAUGAGCUCCACAAAAUUACAGAUCUUUGGUAACAGUCAUGCUGUCUAAGAUAUAUGAAACGCUUCUGGCUGAUUGUUUCUUAUAUUUUUGUGCAAAGAUAAUUACAAUUACUUUUGACCUGAAUUAUGAUAUUGCAAACAAUGGUCCCACUAUAUUUAAAUGUAUGAGUUUGAGAACAGGGCAUUUGAAAAUAAUGUGGAUAAAAGGCACAGCAGUUAAUGUGCAGUUUAAUAAAAACACAUAUUAUAAUAUUUAAUAUCAUUGUUUAACACACACAUACAUACUGGAAUCAUUACAGCAUCAGUGCCCAAUAAUUAAAUCAUUCUAAUAAUACUUAUUACCAUUUGUUUUUUUCCCCUGCAAUAUAAAAUAAUUUGCAUGGUUUAACAUGUUUAAGAAAUGUAUCUUAAAUAUGGAUGAAGUACAGUUCAGAAAGUGUUCUCUUUGUAGCUUUGCUUGAUCAUUGUGUUUUGUGACUGUGGGAUAUUCUGCUAACAAGCUGUAUGUGACAAAUACUUUUAACUGUGCAGCUAUGUUGUAUAUGUAUCCACUACUUUCAAAUGCUUGCCAGAAACUGAAUGUUAAAUUACAGAUGCAUUAUUUCCAUACCCUGUCAUAUUAAAGCAAACCUUUGCACUAGUA